Molecule: long non-coding RNA, 2595 nt
Organism: Tupaia belangeri chinensis (Chinese tree shrew)
Lineage: Eukaryota; Metazoa; Chordata; Mammalia; Scandentia; Tupaiidae
Exons: 7
Source: RefSeq, a predicted model, not a curated record
GUUCACAGCAAGCGUUCUUUUCUUUUAGACCAGGAGACCCUGAUCUCACCCUGACGGUAAGAUCAAAAGUCUCCGUUCGCCCCCAGCCUGCAGGCUUGGGCUGGGUCCAGACGCCUCCCUGAAUGCAGAUGUGCGGCCGCCGGCCUCCCGGGCUAUAAAGCCGCCUCCAGCGCCUUCGCGCGCGCUGGAGCGCUCGGAGUUGCCGGGUGUAGACCCCAGGAGGGGCCGAGAGACAGAAGCGGGCUGCGACUGGCGGUUUCGGGUGGGGGCGCCGCGCGCGCUUGGUGACUGAGGCCGCAAGAGGCCGAAACUGCGGCCCCUCCAGGCCGGGGAGAUGCGGCCGUAGGGCGUGAAACGCUUCUUGCGAGCGAGGAAACGAAGCAACUGGAAUUUGCACCAUCCAGGUCAGAUGGAAAAUAGAAGCUGGGAAAAUCUGACACUUUUCAUUGAUUUGCUCUCUUUGCCAUCGCUACUCGCGAGAGGAAGAAAUGUGACUUCAAAAUUGCAAUUAGGAACCAACCUGCUAAGGGUUCCUCACGUGAGCUCACGUGUGGUGCUGAUCACGGGCAGGUCUCGUCUCUUUCCUGAGCAGGCCAUAAAGCAGUGCGAGGGGAGGCUGGACUCGGAAUGAGAGCACUCUGUGACAGCAGGAACUCAACCAAGUACCAUGGCUGUACCAAGCACCAUGGUGGAAGAACAGAAGGAAGAUGAAGGGAUGUACAUAUGAACCUGUGAUGGAGGAAGAGAUAACAGGUUGCAGCUUGGGUCAGCACGACAAAGAAAAAUGGACAUCCAGGUUGCUGGUCUUCCAUGCAUGUGUUUUCAACAGGGUGUCAUCCUGCCUUUGUGAGACACAGAAGGGGCUGCAAGUCCGUUGGGACCGUCUUUCUCCAGAGAACAUUUUGAAGAUGAUCUCCAGACAACUUCACUCUGCCAGCUCUGCUUGCAGGGUGUUGUGAGGUCUUCGAAAGCCAGCAAGAAGUUAAGGGCAAAAUGGACAAUGGAAACAGAGGUGGCCAAGACAGUCUCUCCACCAUCUACUGUGAGCCGAACUUCUGCGAAAGGGAAAAACAGGAGACUCUGAUUUCAAUGGCUUUAAAGUUAUGAGAGGAAGUUGUAACUUCAGGCUACCAUCUGUCUGCCUCGAAUAUUUUACUUCUCACUUCUUCUUUGUCAAAGUUUGCAUCUUUAGGAGGCCACUGGGAGUAGAAGGAAAAUUUAUGAUUGAUUGUGUUUUAAUUUGCUUGUAAUGCUUUAAAUAUGUUUCCGCCGAGUCUCAGAGAGUACAUCUUUUAGAAGGAGGGACUUGUGUAGAAGUUGGACAAUGAAGUCUCUCCUCAUGGGCGAGCAGGGUUAUUGCAGAGUGACUCUUGCUGUAGGUGAGUCAGGGUGACCCUGUGCCAUUGCCGUAUAGUCACCAGGAUACCUUUGGUGGCCCUAAGUGUGUCUCCUAUGGAACAACUUAGUAAAUCUCACUAAGAGACUGCAAGCACUGAGGGUGGGCCCCUAAUCAUUGCAAUGAUCUCCUGUAUGAGGCACCUUGAGCAUGUCUUAUAGAGAGAAGUCAAUUUAACAACUUUCAGACCAAUAACCACCUACUCAAAUACCUCCAGGGGCCUGUCAGGUGGCAUACAUGAGUGACAUAGGUCGUGGAUAAGAAAAAUAUUUUCUCUUAUUUCCUUGAAAUAUGCAGCCUCCUUAAUUAAUCUGUAUCUUAUUUUCCCACUUUUGAUAAUGACUUGGGUACAAGCAAUACUUCACAUUCCUCUUACCACUCUUCUAUCAAAACAUCAGCGCAAGCAUAAUGAUAAACAUUAAAGCUAUCAGCCCAGGGGUCAGGAAGAUGCCAUUCCAACCCCAGGUGGCAGGGAGCGAUGUGGGUUCCUUUUCUCAGCUUAUAAGUAGGUUUUCUUUAGCAGUCAAAAGUAUAUGCACUGACUUCAGCUGAGUUUACAAACAAGGAUAUGUUUUACCUGACAUAACUGGACCUUUGUAGGUAUUGAACUUGAAGCAUGCUCUAGCAGUGGUUCAACAGUUCCACAGAGGAUCUGGGUCUUUCUGUUUCCCUCCACCCUCCCCAUGGCUGUUGUCAUAAUUGCUAGCUGAUACCCACUGCCUCCAGGGCUGUGUGCUUUCUUUCACUGUUUUUCUAGGUGGAUGGGAAUAACUCUCCAGCCAUUGGACAUACAUUGUUUCCUUCAUUCUGAUUGGAGCACCAAAGUCCCCUGACACUCUUGGACCAAUAACAGAUCCCAGAAAAAUAGCAAAUGCUGAUUGACUUAGAAGAAUGUGGAGGUUGAAGAAAGAUUAAGAGACUGAGAUUUCCUUAAAGGCCAGAUGAGAUACACCUGACUCCAUUGGCCCUUUGGAUGCCACACCGGGCUGAACAUCCAGGUGGUGCCCAAGAGACACUCAUUGAGUUGAACUGAUGCAAAGAAAAAGGCUGGACUCUUCCAUUCCCUGAAGAGAAAUGAGACAAAAGCAGUUUGGAAUGACUAUGCAUACCCAGGAACCUCACUCCUAGGAUGUGAUGAAGACUCUGCAAAACAUCCCCCUUCCUCCCCAGAUAUGGCCCCCUGGACCUUGGACUUCAAC